Molecule: transfer RNA, 73 nt
Filed under: Actinomadura yumaensis
Lineage: Bacteria; Bacillati; Actinomycetota; Actinomycetes; Streptosporangiales; Thermomonosporaceae
Also listed under: 1 other name
Description: tRNA-Leu
Rfam family: tRNA
About the family: Transfer RNA (tRNA) molecules are approximately 80 nucleotides in length. Their secondary structure includes four short double-helical elements and three loops (D, anti-codon, and T loops).
Source: RNAcentral
GCGGCUCUAUCCCAACGGCAGAGGACUGUCGCUCAGAACGGCAGAAGUCCGGGUUCGAAUCCCGGGAGUCGCA